RNAcentral lists this ribosomal RNA (424 nucleotides) under uncultured bacterium. RNAcentral describes it as "bacterial SSU rRNA". It matches the Rfam family "Bacterial small subunit ribosomal RNA", at positions 28 to 451 of the family's 1533-position model. The record is from RNAcentral.
GAUGAACGCUGGCGGCGUGCUUAACACAUGCAAGUCGAACGAUUAAACUGGCUUCGGCCAGAUAUAGAGUGGCGAACGGGUGAGUAACACGUGACCAACCCGCCCCGCGCUCCGGGACAACCGCUGGAAACGGCGGCUAAUACCGGAUGCUCCGGGGAGGCCCCAUGGCCUCCCCGGGAAAGCCUUAACGGCGCGGGAUGGGGUCGCGGCCCAUUAGGUAGACGGCGGGGUAACGGCCCACCGUGCCCGCGAUGGGUAGCCGGACUGAGAGGUCGACCGGCCACAUUGGGACUGAGAUACGGCCCAGACUCCUACGGGAGGCAGCAGUGGGGAAUUUUGCGCAAUGGGGGCAACCCUGACGCAGCAACGCCGCGUGCGGGACGAAGGCCUUCGGGUUGUAAACCGCUUUCAGCAGGGAAGACUU